UUUAAAUGUUAAAUUUUAAUUAAAGUAGUAUUAGUUAUUAUCUUGAAAUUUAAAAAUUUUGGCGGUAUUUUAGUCUAUUCAGAGGAACCUGUUCUAUAAUUGAUAUUCCACGAAUAAAUUUACUUUAAUUAUUAAUUUAUAUAUCGUCGUUAUUAAUUAUUUUAAUAGAAUUUUAAUAAUUAAGAUUUUUUAUUUAAAAAUAAAUCAGAUCAAGGUGUAGUUUAUAUUAAAGAAGAAAUGGGUUACAAUAAAUUUAUUUAUUAUUGAAUAAUUUAUUUAAAUUGAUUAAGAAAGUGGAUUUGAUAGUAAUAAAAUUUAUAUUAAUUUUAUGAUUUUAGCUCUAAAAUGUGU
Molecule: ribosomal RNA, 351 nt
Filed under: Anodocheilus sp. UNM KBMAdsp696
Lineage: Eukaryota; Metazoa; Arthropoda; Insecta; Coleoptera; Dytiscidae
Description: mitochondrial SSU rRNA
Source: RNAcentral